GACGAACGCUGGCGGCGUGCUUAACACAUGCAAGUCGAACGCUGAAGCUCAGCUUGCUGGGUGGAUGAGUGGCGAACGGGUGAGUAACACGUGAGUAACCUGCCCCCUUCUUUGGGAUAACGCCCGGAAACGGGUGCUAAUACUGGAUAUUCACUGAUCUUCGCAUGGGGGUUGGUGGAAAGGUUUUUUCUGGUGGGGGAUGGGCUCGCGGCCUAUCAGCUUGUUGGUGGGGUGAUGGCCUACCAAGGCUUUGACGGGUAGCCGGCCUGAGAGGGUGACCGGUCACAUUGGGACGGAGAUACGGCCCAGACUCCUACGGGAGGCAGCAGUGGGGAAUAUUGCACAAUGGGCGAAAGCCUGAUGCAGCGACGCCGCGUGAGGGAUGGAGGCCUUCGGGUUGUAAACCUCUUUCGCUCAUGGUCAAGCCGCAACAUUGGUUGUGGUGAGGGUAGUGGGUAAAGAAGCGCCGGCUAACUACGUG
Molecule: ribosomal RNA, 481 nt
Filed under: uncultured bacterium
Lineage: Bacteria
Description: partial 16S ribosomal RNA
Rfam family: Bacterial small subunit ribosomal RNA
Source: RNAcentral